GACGAACGCUGGCGGCGUGCUUAACACAUGCAAGUCGAGCGGUAAGGCCCUUUCGGGGUACACGAGCGGCGAACGGGUGAGUAACACGUGGGUGACCUGCCCUCAGCUCUGGGAUAAGCCUGGGAAACCGGGUCUAUACCGGAUAUGACUCCAUGACGCAUGUUGUGGGGUGGAAAGCCUUGUGCGGCUGAGGAUGGGCCCGCGGCCUAUCAGCUUGUUGGUGGGGUGAUGGCCUACCAAGGCGACGACGGUAGCCGGCCUGAGAGGCGACCGGCCACACUGGGACUGAGACACGGCCCAGACUCCUACGGGAGGCAGCAGUGGGGAAUCUUGCGCAAUGGGCGAAAGCCUGACGCAGCGACG
This 363-nucleotide ribosomal RNA is filed under the name uncultured bacterium. RNAcentral's name for it is "bacterial SSU rRNA". It matches the Rfam family "Bacterial small subunit ribosomal RNA", at positions 28 to 396 of the family's 1533-position model. The record is from RNAcentral.